UACGUAGGGUGCAAGCGUUGUCCGGAAUUACUGGGCGUAAAGAGCUCGUAGGCGGUCUGUCGCGUCUGCUGUGAAAACUCGCGGCUUAACUGGGGGCGUGCAGUGGAUACGGGCAGACUAGAGUGCGGUAGGGGAGACUGGAAUUCCUGGUGUAGCGGUGAAAUGCGCAGAUAUCAGGAGGAACACCGGUGGCGAAGGCGGCUCUCUGGACCGUAACUGACGCUGAGAAGCGAAAGCGUGGGGAGCGAACAGG
This 253-nucleotide ribosomal RNA is filed under the name uncultured bacterium. RNAcentral's name for it is "partial 16S ribosomal RNA". It matches the Rfam family "Bacterial small subunit ribosomal RNA", at positions 524 to 776 of the family's 1533-position model. The record is from RNAcentral.